UUCAAUCAAUAUCCCACAUACAGAGAUGUGUAAAGUUGAAGAGGAAGGGUAACACUUUAUAAUACCGUUCAGUUAUAAGUCAUUUAUAAAUGAUUAGUUAAUAGAGUGCCGAAGUUAUGACAUCACUUUGUAGGCCAAAACGCGGAAGUGAGUUAGCAUUUUAGCACCUCCGGUUCCCUCGCCCUAAAGUCUAUGGGUUUUUUGAAUGGGUUUUUGCUAAAUCGCCUGAAAUAAGGUCUGUGGUUAACAAAGCCUCUAAAUAUUUUCACGUUUUGAUCUAUGACAUAAAACAAACCAGUUAUAACCUGUUUGUGAUUUUUUAAAACUUUAUUGUGUCUUAAAAACGGUGGUUGCUAACAAGUUGCUAAAAGGGACUACAUCCUUUGGCGGGGACUUUAGACGUCAUCAUGACAAACAUGAAAUCUCUCACUAGCCUGCGUUUCAGCCUCACGUUCUUAGAAGUCUACCUUUCAGUUAAUAUACAUAACGUUAUAUAUAUUAUUAUUAUUAUUAAAUAAAUUAUAUAUUAUAUAUUUAGUCUAAUUGUCGUUUUUCCAAAUAUUGUUGUACACAGAAUUCUGUGAUAUUAAGGUAACCGUUUCCAGUUCUUUAUUUCUGUGGAGAGACUGUAGGUCGAUAAUGGUGUUUUGUUUUGUCCCGAGAUGCAACCACAAGUCGUCGAAUGAAAGAUGCUCGUUUUACCGUUUUCCGUCCGAUGUUACCCAGCGGAGACUCUGGGUUCGUGCCGUAAGACGAGCUGACCGGAAGCCCAGUGUCCAUUCUCGCAUCUGCAGCUGUCAUUUUCCUGCAGGGGAAAAAAAAAUGCCCGUUUUGUUUUUAGUUACCAAACGGAAGUUGUUUUCAGUUUACUUAUUUUAUGAAAAUAAAGAUGUUUACUACAACUCUUGCUGUAAGGUUUCUGUGGCUCAAUUAUUAGAGCAUUUUGUUAACUGUGCAAAAGGUUGCGAGUUCAAUUCCCAGAGAACACGCUGAUAUGUAUAGCCUGAAUACACUGUAUGUCGCCUGUCUGACAAAUACCAAAAAUUAAAUGUUAAACCAGUGCUUCCCAAACCUGUCCUGGAGGACCCCCUGCCCUGCACCUUUUGUAUGUCUUCCUUAUCUAACACACCUGAUUCCACUCAUCAGACCAAAUUGGGCGUGUCUGAUUAGGGAGACAUACAAAAUGUGCAGAGCAGGCAGUCCUCCAGGACAGGUUUGGGAACCACUGUGUUAAACUAUUCUAACUACACUCCAGUCAGCUCACAGUAAUGUGAAUGUGAGAUAAAAUUUACUACACUGGCUCUCACAUUGGGGCUUGUGGAUUACCAGGUAA
Long non-coding RNA from Cyprinus carpio (common carp), 1333 nucleotides. The record is from Ensembl. Lineage: Eukaryota; Metazoa; Chordata; Actinopteri; Cypriniformes; Cyprinidae.